RNAcentral lists this ribosomal RNA (1042 nucleotides) under Salmonella enterica subsp. enterica serovar Stanley. Its description in RNAcentral is "partial 23S ribosomal RNA". It matches the Rfam family "Bacterial large subunit ribosomal RNA", at positions 693 to 1733 of the family's 2925-position model. The record is from RNAcentral. Lineage: Bacteria; Pseudomonadati; Pseudomonadota; Gammaproteobacteria; Enterobacterales; Enterobacteriaceae.
CGUUAAGUUGCAGGGUAUAGACCCGAAACCCGGUGAUCUAGCCAUGGGCAGGUUGAAGGUUGGGUAACACUAACUGGAGGACCGAACCGACUAAUGUUGAAAAAUUAGCGGAUGACCUGUGGCUGGGGGUGAAAGGCCAAUCAAACCGGGAGAUAGCUGGUUCUCCCCGAAAGCUAUUUAGGUAGCGCCUCGUGAAUUCAUCUCCGGGGGUAGAGCACUGUUUCGGCUAGGGGGCCAUCCCGGCUUACCAACCCGAUGCAAACUGCGAAUACCGGAGAAUGCUAUCACGGGAGACACACGGCGGGUGCUAACGUCCGUCGUGAAGAGGGAAACAACCCAGACCGCCAGCUAAGGUCCCAAAGUCAUGGUUAAGUGGGAAACGAUGUGGGAAGGCCCAGACAGCCAGGAUGUUGGCUUAGAAGCAGCCAUCAUUUAAAGAAAGCGUAAUAGCUCACUGGUCGAGUCGGCCUGCGCGGAAGAUGUAACGGGGCUAAACCAUGCACCGAAGCUGCGGCAGCGACACUGUGUGUUGUUGGGUAGGGGAGCGUUCUGUAAGCCUGUGAAGGUGUGUCGUGAGGCAUGCUGGAGGUAUCAGAAGUGCGAAUGCUGACAUAAGUAACGAUAAAGCGGGUGAAAAGCCCGCUCGCCGGAAGACCAAGGGUUCCUGUCCAACGUUAAUCGGGGCAGGGUGAGUCGACCCCUAAGGCGAGGCCGAAAGGCGUAGUCGAUGGGAAACGGGUUAAUAUUCCCGUACUUGGUGUUACUGCGAAGGGGGGACGGAGAAGGCUAUGUUGGCCGGGCGACGGUUGUCCCGGUUUAAGCGUGUAGGUGUGUGUUCCAGGUAAAUCCGGUUCACUUUAACACUGAGGCGUGACGACGAGGCACUACGGUGCUGAAGCAACAAAUGCCCUGCUUCCAGGAAAAGCCUCUAAGCAUCAGGUAACAUCAAAUCGUACCCCAAACCGACACAGGUGGUCAGGUAGAGAAUACCAAGGCGCUUGAGAGAACUCGGGUGAAGGAACUAGGCAAAAUGGUGCCGUAA